UUCUCCUUCCAUGCAAAGUGCACAACCAGGUGCACUGUUCAAAGUUCUGCCAACUGGGAAGAUUUCCCUUCACCCCUGUCCUUCAGGGAUGUCCUAGAAAGGAGCUGUAGUACUGCAGCUGUCCACUUUCGGGUGGUGUCUGCAUAUCAUGCAGAGCCAUCUGUGAACCAUGCCCUAGUCUUCACUUCCUCUGACCAUCAUAGGGAAUGCUCCAUGAGGUCAUCAGUGCAGGCUAGGGGAGAAAAGGCAUGGUGGCAGGAGUGGAGACCAUGGACAUUUGAGCCACUUCCUCAUGCAACUUACUUAUGCCUUCAGGAUCUGCUCGAGCCCAAUCACAUAUAUACCACUUCCAUUUGAUGAUGAAAUGCUGCUGUGCAUGACCCACUUUAUGGCUAGAUGGGUCAGAAAGCACCCAGUUAAUGAUAGGUAGUUCAGGUCACAUGGUGAUUUGAUGAUCCAUAGUCAAACAAGUUUCCACCAAAGACCAGUAAUAGGCCCAGAGCUGUCUCUCAAAAGGAGAGUAGUUAUCUGCAGAAGAUGGCAGGGCCUUGCUCCAAAAUCCUAGAGGCCUCUGCUCUAGGCCUCACCUAUGGAGGCCUACCAAAGGCUCCAGACAGCAUCCCUGUCUGCCACUGACACCUCAAGCACCACUGGAUUUGCUGGGUCAUAUGGCCUAAGUGGCAGAGCAGCUUCACAGCAGCCUGGACCUGUUGCAGAGCCUUCUCCUGUUUGUGACCCCACUCCUGGUACCAAAAUCUGUAUUAGUCAGGGUUCUGUAGAGGGAAAGAAAUGAUAGGAUAUAUAUGAGAGUUUAUUAAGUAUUAACUUACAAGAUAACAAGCUUCCACAAUAGGCUGUCUGCAAGCUGAGGAGCAAGGAGAGCCUGUCUGAGUCCCAAAACUGAAGAACUUGGAGUCCGAUGUUCAAGGGCAGGAGGCAUCCAGCACAGGAGAAAGAUGUACACUGGGAGGAUAUGCCAGUCUCUCCUUUUCAUGUUUUUCUACCUGCUUUAUAUUCCCUGGCAGCUGAUUAUAUUGUGCCCACCAGAUGAAGGAUGGAUCUGCCUCCCCCAGCCCACUGACUCAAAUGUUAUUCUCCUUUGGCAACACCCUCACAGACACACCCAGGAUCAAUACUUUGUAUCCUUCAAUCCAAUCAAGUUGACACUCAGUAUUAACCAUCACAGCAUCUAUAUGUUUCUUUCCAGAUGUGCAUUUUAUCUCUUUUUAAAAGGUUACUAGAAAGUUGCUGCAGAAGUAUCUACUGGGUUCUAAGAUAUAACACAUAAUUUGUAUCUCAAUGUAGUGUUUUUCCCAUAAAAGGAAAAAAUCUUUAAAACAAUUUCAAUACAUAUGUAACAAAAAAUUCUUAUAUUUUAAAAGUUCUUACAAAUUUUAAGUAUUUAUUGACCUGUACCUAUGAACAUGCAAAUAAGUUAUAUAUAUAGUUAACUUAAGUUAUAUAUAUAGUUAUAUAUAUAUAACUUAAUAACUAUAUAUAUAGCUUAAUAAGUUGUAUAUAAGUUAUAUAUAGUUAUAUAUAACUUAUUAAGUUAUAUAAUAGUUAUAUAUAACUUAUUAAGUUAUAUAAUAGUUAUAUAUAACUUAUUAAGUUAUAUAAUAGUUAUAUAUAACUUAUUAAGUUAUAUAUAGUUAUAUAUAACUUAAUAAGUUAUAUAAUAGUUAUAUAUAACUUAUUAAGUUAUAUAAUAGUUAUAUAUAACUUAUUAAGUUAUAUAUAAUAGUUAUAUAUAACUUAUUAAGUUAUAUAAUAGUUAUAUAUCUUAUUAAGUUAUAUAAUAGUUAUAUAUAGUUAUAUACAUAGUUAUUA
RNAcentral lists this long non-coding RNA (1830 nucleotides) under Homo sapiens (human). RNAcentral describes it as "non-protein coding lnc-SP110-3:1". Lineage: Eukaryota; Metazoa; Chordata; Mammalia; Primates; Hominidae. The record is from RNAcentral.